RNAcentral lists this ribosomal RNA (747 nucleotides) under Triticum aestivum (bread wheat). Its description in RNAcentral is "partial small subunit ribosomal RNA". The record is from RNAcentral. Lineage: Eukaryota; Viridiplantae; Streptophyta; Magnoliopsida; Poales; Poaceae.
AUGGAGCAGUUCCAUGACGGCCACCACGUGCGGCUGCGCAGCAGCCAGCUCGGCACGUACCUGCACGCCGACGACAACGGGAUUGGCGUCUCACUCCACCACGGCCGGGCGUCGAUGAACGCCGCGUGGGCGGUGCACUUGCACCAUGACGAGACGUGGGAGGAUGACUAUCUUCUCCUCUACCGCGCCGCCUACGGGCGCUACCUCGCCGCCACGGACGCGCCGGCGCCGGGCGGCGGCCGCCGCGUCGUGCAGCGCAAGUACGACCAUCCGGAGUUCGAGGCAAUGUUUUGGUAUGCCGCCCUGUCAGAAUCCGGGGACGAAGUCUGCCUCCACCACUUCCACGGCGGCAGCCUCCGCGCCAACACGAGGUACCCGUACCCCCGCUGGAACAUCGGCGUCAGCGUCCACGACACCGGAAACGUCACCACGACGAUGCACUGGGUCGUGGAGCACAUCCCCGCCAGGGAGGGCAUGCCUCCCCUUCCAGUUCCCUUCGCCGCCGCCAUGUGGGAGUGGCGGCUGAUCCACUACGUGUGGCCGAACGUCGUCGACCGCGGCUCAUUCUGGUUUAGGGGGAGGUCCGUGUACCACCUGAGGGACGAGCUGGCCAGGCGGCUGGCCAUCGACGCCUCCGACCUCGUCAUGUGCUUCCACACAUAUGCUGCCUGGCUUACCCCACUCCUCGUCGACCUGCCGAGAAACCACCAGCCCGUCGUCAUCGAAGUCGUCAUCGCGGGGACGCCU